This is a long non-coding RNA of Oryzias melastigma (Indian medaka), 1054 nucleotides long. RefSeq lists it as uncharacterized. The transcript has 4 exons. Lineage: Eukaryota; Metazoa; Chordata; Actinopteri; Beloniformes; Adrianichthyidae. The record is from RefSeq and is a predicted model, not a curated record.
CGCGGGAACACGCGUAUGUGUGUGCGGGGGGGCAGGUCACUCGCCACCCCUCCUUCUUUCCUUAAAAAUACCGCGCGUGCGUGCGUGCGCGUGCAAGCUCAGAACCUAGCAGCCGUUAGCUGGCUGGCUGCACGCUCCGCGCGGCGGGUGGAGCCGCUGCCGCUAAGCAGAGGGGGGCGCUAGGCUCGGACACUCCGCCGGCGACCUCCGGGCUUCCUGUGGAGUUGUACUGAAGUGAACCGGGGAGGGCAGCGCCAGGCAGCGGGCUAGGCUAAAGCUUAGCUCGGCUCAGCUAAAUACUUUUCUACACGGUCCGUCAGCGCUCAACAGUCCCGUACACACAUUCAUACAUUGAUGGCGGCUCCGCUGCUGCACACUGGUGUCAACCUCGACCACCAGAAACAAAGUCGGGUUCAGGAUCUUUCCCAUGGACACCGACAGCAUGGGCAGGAAAGGCGAGAACCAAACCUAACAGAGCUAACAACACAAAUUGCUGUUGAGCGUAUGGAAGACGGACUGCAUGGGGGAGAGGCUCCUUACCAGAAAAAAGAGUGGUGAAGCGAGGACUGCACUGCUUCAUCCAGCAACAUAAUUCACCUGAACUCCGAACAACCUGUCAACAGUUUCUUCUAAAGUGCUCACCUGACACCCCCCUCCCACCCCAACACUUGACUUGGAGUCUUCUACCAGGUCCUCUCCAGAGCAGCGUGAUGCUCCUGCAGGAGGAGGAGCUGCUGAAAGGAUCAUCUUCUCCAGAGGUUUAGAGGUCUAAAUGAUGGAGCUGAAAGUUCAUCUUGACUUGAACAGGCUGUUAAAUUCUGUCAUUAUCCAGGUCAGCUGUUUUUAGGCCAAAGCUCAGAUGAGCUCUUCUUCGGUUCAGCUCUGUCUGUCUGCGAUCAGCUGGUUUGCUUUCGUGGUUUUUUUGUGUGCAGGCUGACGACGGCCCUUCCUGCACCCCCGGCAUGGCGUGGGAGUUCAUUGAUUAACCUAUACGGAGUCUUUGGAGUGGGACCAGGCUCUGCUUCCUUUGGGGGCAUUAAACCUUUGGGUUGGA